RNAcentral lists this long non-coding RNA (370 nucleotides) under Coturnix japonica (Japanese quail). RNAcentral's name for it is "lncRNA (ENSCJPG00005005341.1)". Lineage: Eukaryota; Metazoa; Chordata; Aves; Galliformes; Phasianidae. The record is from RNAcentral.
GAGUUACAGUAAUCCAUCCUGGAAGUGACAAACAUAUGAUACCAUGUGGCUUGAUCCUGUGGGAAGAAGGGUGGAAUUUCCUAUGGGUGCAGAUGCAUAAAGAAAAAGGACAUUUUUUAAGACUGAACACCCUUCCUGGCUGUCCCAGAGAUCAAGGGAAGAGGAAGCAAAGUGACUCACAACAAGCAGAAGCACUGGAAGAAAACCAAGAUUUCUUUUCCAUCCAGUUAACAUUCAGUGCUGUAGGCUGCAUGACAUCUUUGAGCUAACGUUACUCAUUUCUUAAGAAACCAGAAGGAAAAAGUGAUGGGAAGCAAGAAGAAAGAAUGGCUAAAAUAAAUAAGUUGAGCUGACACUGUAUCUGCUUUCA